UACGGAGGGCGCAAGCGUUGUUCGGAAUCACUGGGCGUAAAGCGUGCGCAGGCGGCUUUGCAAGACAGAUGUGAAAUCCCCGGGCUCAACCUGGGAACUGCAUUUGUGACUGCAAGGCUAGAGUACGGCAGAGGGGGAUGGAAUUCCGCGUGUAGCAGUGAAAUGCGUAGAUAUGCGGAGGAACACCGAUGGCGAAGGCAAUCCCCUGGGCCUGUACUGACGCUCAUGCACGAAAGCGUGGGGAGCAAACAGG
Molecule: ribosomal RNA, 253 nt
Filed under: uncultured bacterium
Lineage: Bacteria
Description: partial 16S ribosomal RNA
Rfam family: Bacterial small subunit ribosomal RNA
Source: RNAcentral